Molecule: long non-coding RNA, 1005 nt
Organism: Helianthus annuus (common sunflower)
Lineage: Eukaryota; Viridiplantae; Streptophyta; Magnoliopsida; Asterales; Asteraceae
Exons: 4
Source: RefSeq, a predicted model, not a curated record
UUUCUCUUCUUCCUCUCUUAGGCUGGACGGUAUGGUCCGUCCUCAGCCCCGGCGCCGCCCGUCCUCCCACGCCGCCCCCUCCGUCCCGUCCCCAUCGUCCGAGUUGUGCCGUUUGCGACGGAGCAAACAGGUGGGCCCCCUUCAUCGUCCUCUCCGUCCUCCCAUCCCGCCCCCCGGUCUCCAUCCCGUCCUCGUCUUCAUCCCGUCACCAUACCCUUGAGCCUUAAAAAGAUUCAAAGAGAGAUGAGAGAGAAGUGUCACCGAUUACAUUUUACAUCCAUUCAUCGGUUGUCGAUAACUAAUAUAUGAUUGAUGACGAACAAUGAUGGCUACCCCUUUGUGAUAGCUCUAGGAUGAUGGUCACCGGCGGCAGAGACAACCUCCCUUCAACUGUCAUAAUAGAAGGAGGAGUGACGGUGGUUCGUUGGACAGGUUGGUCACGAACAUACGAUGAUUAAUAAUGAUUGCGGCAGUGGGUGUUGAUGAUUGUAGAAGGCGACUCGGUCAACAGAGUAGCUCUGGUUCAUCCGGACAAAUGAUGGGACGCUUAGAUAGCCUAUACUAACUAAAAUGCCAGGCCUCAUCUCUCUCGAUCCUAAAUUGCGCUUCUUAAAAUUAUUGACAAAGGCACGAUAUUCAAUUGCAAGGUUCAAAGGAGAAUAAAUUGUGAUCUUCUCGCAGCCUCGCAGGCGCGUUAGCGACGGUAUGCUUGCUAGCAUGCUGGAGGUUGUUCAUUAUGCUUUCGUCAAUCGUGUUGCAUAUAAAUGUUCGUAUCAGCGACAUUGCUCACAUAAAAUAGGUUCGUAUCAAUGGCUACUCAUAUGCAUGGCAUCACUCUCAUUGUAGGAACGAGGGCUGUUGCAACAGAUACGAAAGUCCUCAUGUCAACAUUAUGCAAGGGUCUUUGAUAUUUUAAGAGAGUUUAUACUCGAUUUAUUGAAACUUUUUAUGACAUUUGUUAUUAUAUAUCUAAGAAAGUUACCUUUAUAGAACGAUUUUCUUUAG